Molecule: ribosomal RNA, 406 nt
Filed under: Laevichlamys gladysiae
Lineage: Eukaryota; Metazoa; Mollusca; Bivalvia; Pectinida; Pectinidae
Description: partial 12S ribosomal RNA
Rfam family: Bacterial small subunit ribosomal RNA
Source: RNAcentral
UUAGAGACCCAUUUAUUCCGACGCAAACUUUGCUUCGGCGGCUGCUUGAGUACUACGAGUGCUUAAAACUCAAAGAACUUGGCGGCUCGUUAACUACCCAGGGGAAUAUGCGCCUUAAUCCGAUGAUCCGCGUUGCAUCUUACUGUACCUUGAAAAAGAACAGCUGGUGUAUUGCCGUUGUCAGCUUGUUGUUUGAGCAGGAGAAACAGGCUCAAUGGACCUAGGAGCCGUAAAUUCAGGUCGAAAUACUGCCAAUGGUACAAGGGAGUGGGUAUUACAAUUCUGAUUUUGAACUACGGAUCCUAUGAAAUUGAAGGUGGACUUGGGAGUAAGGGGAGAUUAACAUGCUUCCCUGAACUGAAUCUAACUUGUGUACAAACCGCCCGUCGCUCUCGCCAGGGGAGAU